GUCCGUGUGGCCUAAUGGAUAAGGCGUCUGACUUCGAAUCAGAAGAUUGCAGGUUCGAGUCCUGUCACGGACG
This is a non-coding RNA of Stegodyphus mimosarum, 73 nucleotides long. The record is from Rfam. Lineage: Eukaryota; Metazoa; Arthropoda; Arachnida; Araneae; Eresidae.